This is an RNA transcript of Suricata suricatta (meerkat), 6135 nucleotides long. It is a transcript of the gene named LMBR1 domain containing 2, with no coding region annotated. The transcript is spliced from 19 exons. The record is from RefSeq and is a predicted model, not a curated record. NCBI's taxonomy places the organism in Eukaryota, Metazoa, Chordata, Mammalia, Carnivora, Herpestidae.
GCGGCGCUCCGGCUGGCUGGGAAAUGUCAGCCGCUUGACUGGGGCCGGGUUUUCCUUACGGCAGAGCCUGCAGGCCUUCUAGUGCUCGUCACCGCCGUGGCCUCGGAGCGUGGGUCCCAGAUCCUGGACUAUUGUUGCCGACGCAGACUUUCCCGGUCCUUCCAGACGCUGUCUGGCGAGAUCGGACGGUGAGCCCGAUGGGGAGAGCGUGAGGCACUGUGGGGUCGAAGGUCUGAGGCCGAGAGUAGGCGGAGAUCGAAAGGACCUCGGAGACCCCAAACAACCGCCGCCGCGGCCCUAAGUUCCCGGCCACUGAGGGGAGGCGGUAGUCCGGCCCCCCUGGCCAGUUUACAGAUAUGAUCCAGACCUGCACAUGAAUGACUUCUGGUUAGUCGGAGUGAACAUUCAAUAAUGAGUGGUGCAGCUUUGGGACUCGAGAUUGUUUUUGUCUUUUUUCUGGCAUUAUUCCUACUUCAUCGAUAUGGAGACUUUAAGAAACAGCAUAGACUUGUUAUUAUUGGAACACUGCUAGCUUGGUAUCUCUGCUUUCUUAUCGUCUUCAUACUGCCUCUGGAUGUCAGUACGACAAUAUACAACCGCUGUAGGCAUGCGGCCGCAAACUCAAGCCCUCCCGAGAACAGCAACGUUACCGGAUUCCAUGCAACUGCUACCCCGGUUCCAAGCCGACAUCCAUGUUUCAAGCCAUGGAGUUACAUUCCUGAUGGAAUCAUGCCAAUUUUCUGGAGGGUAGUAUAUUGGACAUCACAGUUUUUAACAUGGAUCCUGUUACCUUUUAUGCAGUCCUAUGCAAGAUCAGGAGGGUUUUCCAUUACCGGGAAGAUCAAAACCGCACUGAUUGAGAAUGCGAUCUAUUAUGGCACCUAUUUGCUGAUUUUUGGAGCAUUUUUAAUAUAUGUAGCUGUAAACCCACAUUUGCACUUAGAAUGGAACCAGCUUCAGACAAUCGGAAUCGCUGCUGCCAACACCUGGGGCCUGUUUCUGCUCGUGUUGUUGUUGGGAUAUGGUUUGGUAGAAAUUCCUCGGUCGUACUGGACUGGAGCAAAAAGAGGCUACCUGCUUAUGAAAACGUACUUUAAGGCAGCCAAACUGAUGACAGAAAAAGCGGAUGCUGAAGAGACUUUAGAAGAUGUCAUGGAGGAGGUUCGUAAAGUGAAUGAAAGCAUCAAGUAUAAUCACCCAUUGAGAAAAUGUGUUGACACAAUACUUAAAAAGUGCCCUACGGAGUAUCAGGAAAAAAUGGGUAGGAACAUGGAUGAUUAUGAAGAUUUUGAUGAAAAGCAUAAUACCUACCCAACUGAAAAAAGUCUGGUAAAACUACAUAAACAGGUGAUUUAUUCAGUUCAGAGGCACCGUCGAACUCAAGUACAAUGGCAGAUUCUUUUGGAACAAGCAUUUUAUCUAGAAGAUGUAGCAAAAAAUGAAACUAGUGCUACUCGUCAGUUUGUUCACACCUUUCAGUCACCAGAGCCAGAAAACAAAUUUACCCAAUAUUUUUAUAAUCCUACAGUUGAAUGGUACUGGGAAUGUCUUUUGAGACCAUGGUUUUAUAGGAUACUUGCUGUGGUUUUGUCCAUCUUCUCCGUGAUUGUCGUGUGGUCAGAAUGCACAUUCUUUAGCACUACACCUGUCUUAUCCCUCUUUGCAGUCUUCAUACAGCUGGCUGAAAAAACAUACAAUUAUAUUUAUAUAGAGAUUGCCUGCUUCCUUUCCAUCUUCUUUCUGAGUAUCUGCGUUUAUUCUACUGUGUUCAGGAUUCGUGUCUUUAACUAUUAUUACUUGGCUUCGCAUCACCAGACUGAUGCUUACAGCCUUCUCUUCAGUGGCAUGUUAUUUUGCCGUUUGACUCCUCCUUUAUGUCUUAAUUUCCUGGGUUUGACCCAUAUGGAUUCAUCCAUCUCUCACCAGAAUACGCAGCCAACUGCUUACACAUCUAUUAUGGGUUCCAUGAAAGUUUUAUCCUUUAUUGCAGAUGGAUUCUAUAUAUAUUAUCCUAUGUUGGUGGUAAUUCUCUGCAUUGCUACUUACUUUAGUUUGGGAACUCGUUGUUUGAAUCUACUUGGUUUCCAGCAGUUCAUGGGAGAUAAUGAUAUGACAUCAGACUUGGUUGAUGAAGGAAAAGAAUUAAUCAGACGAGAGAAGAGAAAAAGGCAAAGGCAAGAAGAAGGUGAAAAUCGAAGAAGAGAAUGGAAAGAACGCUAUGGACACACUAGAGAAGACUCCACGAGAAACAGAAAUGUUCACGUUGACCCGAAAGAAUCAAACCUCUCAGAUAUUAGUACCAACCGAUCAGCAUCCAAAUAUACCAGGGCUAAUAACAGGACUGAAAGGGACCGAAUAGAGCUCCUCCAAGAUGUAGAACCUUUGGAUUUUAAUGCAGAAACAUUCACUGAUGAUCCUCUUGAGUCUGAGCCAGGAAGAUCAUUUCUUUAUCCACCUUUCAGGUAUCAGCCUGGUGGACGAUACCUCUCGAUGUCUCACAGCAGAAUAUUUGAUGAUGUUUAAAGUCUGAAGAAUUUAUGGAACAACUAACCAAGAUCAACACAUCAGUUCAGUCUUUCCGAACAUAUGUUUUGUCAUGAAACCCAGAUGCUGUAGAAGCAGAAAAGGAGAAGAAAUUAUCCAGUCACUUUUGUAACUUAUAAUGCCCUAAAAUAAACUGAUAGGAAUAUGUAGGGGAAUGUACUACUUUCCUUUAUUAUUAAAAUUUUUAUGAUUAUAGUAAUCGAAGUAUAUGUAAUACUUCACAAACAAUAUAGCUCCCUUUGUGACUUUUGGGCUACUCCCCAAGUAAUUCUUGGUUACGUGAUCUAGACUGUUCAACUUUUUAAGCAGAAUUUAUCUUACAGGAUUUUUUAUAUGAUCAUAUGGGAAGGUUACCUGACUGGGUAAAUUUGAUUUAACCCCUUAAGAAUAAAGAGUUUAUUGCUGCAGAACUAAGUUAAUAUUUGUUAAGCCACCGUGUGUAGAAAACUGGAGUACAAACAUAAGUUUUCUUUUGGGGGAAGCUUAUGCAAAACAUUACUACUAAAUUCAUACACGUUAAAUGCAGAGAAAUUUCCUGAAGAAUUACUUCUGACAAUUAGCUUUUAAUGUCUUUCUUACAUAAUAAUAAAUAACUGAUUACACUUUUAAAAUUAUUUUUCUAAACAGUCAUUAGGUAAGCAUAUUCAGUAAGCCAGUAAUUCAAAUAGCCAUUUCAAAAAUAAUAAAUCUAUUAAUUUCAUGAAUUACCUGUAAGUUGCUAAUUAACUUUUGUUACUACAUCAAUAACUUAUCAACAGGGCAUUUUUAUAAAAUUAUUAUUAAAAUAAGGCAUAAGGGACAAGCCUAAUUGUUAGAAUUUGCUCUCUUUCCAAAUGAAUACAGGGCCUUGGAAUAAUUUCAGUACACAAGAGGCCUUCAUUUCACAAGAGUGGUAAGAGCUAAAUUAAAAGUCAAGGAUUUUCCAUUUAUAAAAAAUAGAUUAGAAAUUUGGACAACCCACACCAAAAAGAAAUGCUGUGAGUUGAUCUGGUUUUGAAUUCUAUUUGAUCACUUCUGAAAUUUACACUGGUUGUGUACCCAAAUGAAAUUAAAUGUGAAGAGGGAAGUCCAUUUGUGUGUUUUUUAUACUUUAGCAUACAAAUGAAAGAAUUUCAUUUAUGUGCAAUAACAAACCUCAUUUUUUUUUAUCUUGUAAUAGAUUCAGGGAAUGUUCUUGAUGGUGUGUUGAUUACCAUCUUAAAAGAAAAAUAAACUCUCCAUUAUUAUAAUUCACACUGCUCAGUAACGUUGAGUUUUAUACUUGUGAUUUGAGUGGACCGUGCCUGAAAAUCACAAGGAUAAGUGUAUUUGCACUAACGAGGCAAAACAUGUCCCUGAAAAAUCUUAACAUACUUGAAUCUCCGAAUUGUAAUGGGUCACAUUACAUUAAACUCUACGUGUUAAGAAGUAAAUGGAUUUAAAGUUUUAUCUUUCCUUUCUUUACUUCCUUCCUUCAUUCCUUUCUUACCUUCCUUUCUGAGUCUCUCUUUCUAAUACGACUUUUAAUGUACUGACAGAUUAGUCUUCUGUUUUGUGUACACAGAUGUUUCUGAAGAUCUGUACACUCAAAAGGAACUAGUUCUGGUUCCAGAUCCCACUACUUGAAUAGCAAUAUUGCACCUAAAGUAGUGAAACAGGUGUUUCUAGACAACUAAGCAACAUCUGAAUGUAAAUGUGAUGUAUGCUGGCUUGGUGUGUUGUCUUUAGGUCACUAAGGAGGGCACUUCAUUAAAAUGAAAUAUUCUCAGUGUAAUGUUUUGGCAUAAAAAUGGAUUUCCAAAACCAGUGAUUGUUAAAACAAAACCCCAAAAAGAUUUAGAGCCUUGAGGUAUCUUUUUAUGAAAAGAAACUCAUAAAUAACCUAUGUCGCUGCCAAAGUUUUCAUUAGAAGCUACAAGAGGUUGGAACACUACAAGAGGGUUACAGAAGGCCUUCUAAAUUCCCUCAAUAUAGGGUACUUCUUCCUAAAGGACUUUGUUCCUGGUCAGAGAGCUGGAAGGCCAAACGGGUCCUCCCCACUCCCAAUUCCUGAGGCCCUGUGAUCAUCUCCGCCAGCAGAGCAGGCACGAGCCCUGCCCAUCCCAGUCCCAUCAGUGGGAACAUGACCUUACCUCUAAUUCCUUUCACGCUCAGCCUGGUCUUCCUAAAAUUUUAUUGUCAAAAGAUUUGUCCAUUGAGGUUGAUUGAAACCUUGCUGAAAUUUUUAAUUUGUUGAUAAAGCAAGAAUAUUGGCAUGGUCCUCUUCUUGUUGAUAUCCUAGAAGACAUUUGUUUUUAACACACUUCUGGGGGAGAAUUAACUAUUUUUCUCCUGCAAAUCUUUUCUUUUGUGGUUAUCUUGAUCUCCUAUCAUUUUCUAAAAGAUUUUUUCUGUACUUAGGGCAAAAAGAGUAGAAAGAGUGGUUUACAUGUCUAUGGCAGACAUGAUGUAGGGGAAAGUCAUAAUUUAUUAGUCUGAGUAUACAACACCUUUUUGAGUUGAUACUAUUGAUACAAAUCUUACCAACCUAGUCACUUAGAGCUGUAUUUCUCAAAAGAAUGCUGGCUAGCGUCUUCCCGACUUAGUACACCAAGUUGUAGGGGAGAGACUGUAUUUAUUUUAUUAGAAGCAAUCCAAUGGAUUUGUUUUUGUCCAUACUUUGAAAACAGCUUGAAGGAUUUUUCUCAUAUUAGAAGGUAGAGAACAUGUGGACAUGUCUUUUAAAUUACUGUAAUUUAAUAUAUAUUUAUAAAUUAGAUAGCCUUGAAACAAGAGCUCUAAUAUUGAUGUUGUUACUUUCUGCUAUUUAAUUUUUAUAAAAUGUUUUUGUAGCAACUAAUUGUAGUCCUUUUAAGUAGUUUAAAAAUCUUUCUCAAAUAAGUUCUACCCACAUCCUGUUUACUUAGGGCAAUAUUCUAAACUUCAGUCGUCCAGUGUAAAUUUGAAAUGUACCUUCAUCCCUUCAGUGUCUUUUUAUAUCUGCCAGUACUCAAGCAAAGUAUACCAAAAGCUUAAUUCCUGUGUUGCAUUAAUAAAGUACUUGUUCUUUAUCUAAUUCAGUGGAUUAGGUGUAAUAGAAGAUAGGUCUUUUCAAGUGUUGCAUCAGAUCAUAUUUUUCCAGACGUUCAUUAUGUUGAUUUUUGGUGCAUGAUGCCAAAUUAUCUUUAAUCAGCCAUUACUACCUGAUAUGUAAUGACCAAUGGGUUGUAGAUUUAACAGUUUUUCUCUGCAUAUUCUCACUACAUUUUCAAAUAUGUAUGUGGAAAAAGCUGCAAAGUGCUACCUAUAAGUGAGUUAGCAUCUUUGGCCUUAUCUAUGCAUAAUGUUCUCUCAGUUUGGUUUUGACAAACUUGUGGACUUGCAGUUGCUUUGUAGUAUUUUAAAUUAUUGUGAUGUAAUGAAUUUUUUGAAAUGUCUGAUUAGCUAUUAAAAUAUAGGAAAUUAUGUGGCUUUGCAUGAAAUAAAGUACAUUUCUACAAGUUCCUAAGAAUUUUGCAGAUUAUGCAUUUGAUUUCAUACCAUCUUUGAGAUUAAACUCUUAAGGAGGCUGAAGCUUUGUUUUUAACAAAUAUAUUAACAGAUAUUACAAAUAAAAUAUUUUAAGAUAAAUAA